This 468-nucleotide ribosomal RNA is filed under the name uncultured bacterium. RNAcentral's name for it is "partial 16S ribosomal RNA". It matches the Rfam family "Bacterial small subunit ribosomal RNA", at positions 28 to 507 of the family's 1533-position model. The record is from RNAcentral.
GACGAACGCUGGCGGCGUGCUUAACACAUGCAAGUCGAACGGAAAGGCCCUGCUUUUGUGGGGUGCUCGAGCGGCGAACGGGUGAGUAACACGUGAGUAACCUGCCCUUGACUUUGGGAUAACUUCAGGAAACUGGGGCUAAUACCGGAUAGGAGCUCCUGCUGCAUGGUGGGGGUUGGAAAGUUUCGGCGGUUGGGGAUGGACUCGCGGCUUAUCAGCUUGUUGGUGGGGUAGUGGCUUACCAAGGCUUUGACGGGUAGCCGGCCUGAGAGGGUGACCGGCCACAUUGGGACUGAGAUACGGCCCAGACUCCUACGGGAGGCAGCAGUGGGGAAUAUUGCACAAUGGGCGGAAGCCGGAUGCAGCAACGCCGCGUGCGGGAUGACGGCCUUCGGGUUGUAAACCGCUUUCGCCUGUGACGAAGCGUGAGUGACGGUAAUGGGUAAAGAAGCACCGGCUAACUACGUG